UAGUAAUUGUAAUUUAUCUACAAGUUACAUGGUCAGAUAAAAUGUAUUUGUACAAUGCAACUAUGUAGUAGGAAUAUAGAAAUGACCAAAUGCAAUUGUGUAACAAACAGCAUAGAUGAACUCUGUGUUUAAUAGCUGCAGGAGAAGGGACAUCCAGUUGUACUCCAGGGACCAGGGACACACAGGCCAACACACAGCCUGCAUUAGGUGAUGAAGAUGAAGGGACAUCCAGGACCACACCAAGCACUCUGGGCGCCAGUGAAACACAGACAGCUGAGACCAGGGACACGCAGCCUGAAGGUGAAGGAACAUCAAUCACAACAUGCUCUGCUACUACACUGCCACCUGCAGAC
This is a long non-coding RNA of Fundulus heteroclitus (mummichog), 353 nucleotides long. RefSeq lists it as uncharacterized. Lineage: Eukaryota; Metazoa; Chordata; Actinopteri; Cyprinodontiformes; Fundulidae. The transcript is spliced from 3 exons. The record is from RefSeq and is a predicted model, not a curated record.